CUUGAAUAUUACUCUGAAUUGGGAUGCUCAUAUGUGAUUCAGUUGACACCAUUCUCAAUUUAUGCUGGAUCACAAUUCUUAUAGAAGCAAUAUCUGUAUAUACAAAAAUUACUACAGUGUUGAAUAUGAAACCUUAAAGAACUCGUCCUGGUAUCUUUUGUGAGUUAUUAUAAAGAUCAACCAAUGACUCCCCCACCAACCACAACAUCAAAUGCAGUGCUCCUCUACAGAAUAACAUCACGAAAGAACCAUGGCAAGAUAAAGGCUAGUACCAAGCAUGUCAUUAGAAAGUUGCAUAAAGUCUUCUUACAUUGGCAAGAACUUUCUCGAGAAGUAUCUAAAGUUGCUGCUACCAGAGUCUCAUCUCACUUCUCUCCAUCAUGAAUAUUGAGGUGUUCUCCAAACUGCUGGUUAUGUUCACUAUGUUUCCACAUAUUUCACACAAUCUGCAAAGCACGGUAUGUUUAGAUAAAUCAAGUCUUGAAACACAUUAUUUAUAGAUUAAAUUUUUAGCGAUUGGACAUAUA
Molecule: long non-coding RNA, 527 nt
Filed under: Olea europaea subsp. europaea
Lineage: Eukaryota; Viridiplantae; Streptophyta; Magnoliopsida; Lamiales; Oleaceae
Source: RNAcentral